This 100-nucleotide transfer RNA is filed under the name Phialocephala subalpina. It matches the Rfam family "tRNA". From Rfam's summary of the family: Transfer RNA (tRNA) molecules are approximately 80 nucleotides in length. Their secondary structure includes four short double-helical elements and three loops (D, anti-codon, and T loops). Lineage: Eukaryota; Fungi; Ascomycota; Leotiomycetes; Helotiales; Mollisiaceae. The record is from Rfam by way of RNAcentral.
GUCGAGUUGCCAGAGUGGUUAAUGGGUAUGACUCGAACGUCCUCGGACAAAUAGAUAUCAUAUGGUUUCGGCCGCGUAGGUUCAAAUCCUGCACUCGACG